This 299-nucleotide signal recognition particle RNA is filed under the name Cebus imitator (Panamanian white-faced capuchin). RNAcentral's name for it is "Metazoan signal recognition particle RNA (ENSCCAG00000006043.1)". It matches the Rfam family "Metazoan signal recognition particle RNA". From Rfam's summary of the family: The signal recognition particle (SRP) is a universally conserved ribonucleoprotein. It is involved in the co-translational targeting of proteins to membranes. Lineage: Eukaryota; Metazoa; Chordata; Mammalia; Primates; Cebidae. The record is from RNAcentral.
GCUGGGCACAGUGGUGCGUGCCUGUAGUCCCAGCUACUGGGUAGGCUGAGGUGGGUAGAUUGCUUGAGCCCAGGAGUUCAGGGCUGUAAUACGCUAUGCCGAUCGGGUGUCCACACUGAGUUCAGCAUCAAAAUGGUGACCUCCCGGGAGCUGGUGACUACCAGGUUGCCUAAGGAGGGGUGAACCGGCCCAGGUUGGAAACAGAGUAGGUCAAAACUCCCGUGCUGAUCAGUAGUGGGAUUGCACCUGUGAAUAGCCACUGCACUCCAGCCUGGGCAACAUAGCGAGACCCCCUCUCU